This 279-nucleotide ribosomal RNA is filed under the name uncultured bacterium. Its description in RNAcentral is "partial 16S ribosomal RNA". It matches the Rfam family "Bacterial small subunit ribosomal RNA", at positions 506 to 784 of the family's 1533-position model. The record is from RNAcentral.
UGCCAGCCGCCGCGGUAAUACGAAGGGACCUAGCGUAGUUCGGAAUUACUGGGCUUAAAGAGCUCGUAGGUGGUUAGAGAAGUUGGUGGUGAAAUCCCAAGGCUUAACCUUGGAACUGCCACCAAAACUUUUUGACUAGAGUAUGAUAGAGGUAAGUGGAAUUUCUAGUGUAGAGGUGAAAUUCGUAGAUAUUAGAAAGAACACCAAUUGCGAAGGCAACUUUCUGGAUCAUUACUGACACUCAGAGGCGAAAGCUAGGGUAGCAAAAGGGAUUAGAUA